This 528-nucleotide ribosomal RNA is filed under the name Triticum aestivum (bread wheat). RNAcentral describes it as "partial small subunit ribosomal RNA". The record is from RNAcentral. Lineage: Eukaryota; Viridiplantae; Streptophyta; Magnoliopsida; Poales; Poaceae.
GAUUGAUCUAGUAGUAAUCCUACAUAUCCCAUGUACUGGUGUCAUACUGACAUACCAAAAUCUAGCACAAAUAAGUUAUAACUAUUUUGAAUUACGGUAUGCAUUCUUCCAAAUGUAAAAAUAUAUUGACAUAUAAGGAAAGCGGAGAGCAUGCAAGCAGUACAGACAUUCUAGACCAUAUUAUUCAAGGGUCAAUCAUCACUUAAUUUAGGAGUAAGUAAGGUGUUAUUCCAGUGACAUUUAAGAAAAGUUCAUACACAUUUCGGUGUAACGUUCGACCUGUCGUUAAUUACACAACUAGCUCAAGUUACACACAUCAUCCACAGCAGAAAUAUUGUACACUUGCCUAUUGUCAACAUCGAUGUCACAGUGAAACGUACGAGCCAUGAGAUCAACCUACAGUUCCACUGAUUGCGCUCAAGGACUGGAUUUUAAAGCAAUGAGUUUGACGUGACAAGGCCGUGGCCUACUCUACUGUAGAGUGCUUGUCCGUUGCGUCAAAAUUAAGAAAAGUCUUACGAAACCAAC